AAUUAUAUUAAUUAUUACCUUGACUCACAACAUUUUUUCUUUUACUGAUUUAUGGUUUAACAGGUUUUACUGAAUAUGAACUUUACCUACUGAUAUUAUAUAAUACAAUAUCAGGUGUGUAAGAUGAUCAUCGGUUUAUGUAGGUAUUAUUGUCAGAUAAUUAGAUAUAAAUAAAAUAAAUGCUGUGAACUCAUUUUGUUUUAGGCUUUCCACACAAAAUUGGAUAUAGAGAUCGUUUGAUCAGAACACUUUAAUAAUUUUUAAUUUUAAAUAACUUUUACGUAUUUAAUGAAAAAAAAAAAUGUGUGUUUGCAGUUUGUAAUCAGUUUAUUAUUAUGAUGUGAGGUAUAAUAUCGCAUGAUCAUACUAUUUACAGGUAAACUGAUCUGAUUAAUUAGGUAAACCUAGAUAAAAUAAAUGUAAAUGUAUUGUAGUCGUAUUUUUUUUUUGAUUUGCCACAAUAAUUGCGUUGCGCUUAGAGGUCGUUUGAACAGAUUACCUACAUUAAUGAAUUUAUAAUGAUUUUUUUUUUCAUAAUAAUUGUUAGCUUUUUAUCUACUUAUUAAUUCUGAGUCUAUAUAAAAACAACAAGUUUAAAGUACAAUAAUAUUCAUAUCCAUCGGAUCGGACAAUCUAAUAUCAGUAAAUUUAUCGAGUAGUGGCGAACGGUAUUCGUUCAAUGACGUUAUUUAUAUUUCUAAUAAUUACUGUACAUCGCACAUAAAUAUAGAUUUAUUUUACAAUGAGCUCUAGUGUUUGUCGAUCUAUCAUUCUAACCUUUCAUUACUUGUGCGAAACUGUAUUACAUUCACAGUUUUUAAUAGUCAAUAAACAUUCAAUAAUAAUUAAUUUAAAUACAUAGUAAUUUUAUAUCAAGUCAAAAAAACCAGUUUAAUUCUUAUUCAAUUUGUGUUUGUGACAAAUUUUACAAGUAAUCAAUUUACAGAUAAUAUGUGUUGUAACGAUCAAAAUCAAACCGUCGUUAAUCACAUUCACAGUUUACGUUUAUUAAAGUUAUAU
Molecule: long non-coding RNA, 1020 nt
Organism: Acyrthosiphon pisum (pea aphid)
Lineage: Eukaryota; Metazoa; Arthropoda; Insecta; Hemiptera; Aphididae
Exons: 2
Source: RefSeq, a predicted model, not a curated record